GGGGGCCCGCAAGCGGUGGAGCAUGUGGUUUAAUUCGACGCAACGCGAAGAACCUUACCUGGGCUCGAAAUGUAGUGGAAUCCGGCAGAAACGUCGGCGUCUAGCAAUAGACCGCUAUAUAGGUGCUGCAUGGCUGUCGUCAGCUCGUGUCGUGAGAUGUUGGGUUAAGUCCCGCAACGAGCGCAACCCUUAUCUUCAGUUGCUACCAUUUAGUUGAGCACUCUGACGAAACCGCCUCGGAUAACGGGGAGGAAGGUGGGGAUGACGUCAAGUCCUCAUGGCCUUUAUGUCCAGGGCUACACACGUGCUACAAUGGCCGGUACAAACCGCUGCAAACCCGCGAGGGGGAGCUAAUCGGAAAAAGCCGGCCUCAGUUCGGAUUGGAGUCUGCAACUCGACUCCAUGAAGCUGGAAUCGCUAGUAAUCGCGGAUCAGCACGCCGCGGUGAAUACGUUCCCGGGCCUUGUACACACC
Molecule: ribosomal RNA, 474 nt
Filed under: uncultured bacterium
Lineage: Bacteria
Description: bacterial SSU rRNA
Rfam family: Bacterial small subunit ribosomal RNA
Source: RNAcentral